AAGAAAGGAAUUAAGAAAAAUGGAAAAUGGAAAGGUUUGUAUUUAUCCCUCAAAAACUAGAACCUACGAGAUUCUUCUCUUGGCACACACUUUUACACCUCAUACACACACUCACCGUGAUACAUAUAUUGAUACACACACACACCCUAUGGGGGAGAUACGCAGUCCCUCCGCCGGCAGCAUUGCGCCUCCGGCAACCUUUGUUCUUUGUUGAAAGUGGCACCCUCUCCUCGUCUCCCUCUCUGUCUCGAUCUUUCUCUUGCUACUCACAAACAUAUGGUACUUUUUGUGGCUGAUCGACUAUUUCUAGCCGUCAUUACUUGAUUUCAGCGACAAUAGAUUAGCUUUGUCUCCCAUUUGUGUAAGUAAUGUUCCUAUUUUGUGUAUUCUUUGAAUUUUAUAUGUGACUGAAAGUUAGGGCUUCUUUUUGAAAUUUAUCCCCAAAUUAUUGGUUUAGCAAAUUGGGUGAAAUUUUAGUAUAUUAAUGGACAUUUCUGUUCUUACUUAUGAUUGGGGAGUUGAGUUGGACGAUAACUAUGAAUCUUGUUAUUUAAAUGAAGUGUUAGCUUAGAGUUCUUCCAUAUAAUUUAUGGAAAUUGUAUUGCUACUUUGGAUUGACUUUAGAAUAUCUAAAUCUAUAUGUGGGAGAAAAGUAUUUUUGGUAGGGAAAAGUUGGGACAAUCCAUUGACUAGUGAGAAUAUCGAUGAUUUUUACAUAUUGUUGUUUAAAGAUGCUCAAAUGAGUUCUGUUAUGCAUUCAUGGGAAUAUUUGCUACAUGAUUAACUAAAGAUCAAUGAAGAAGAGUUGAUACUUGAGGCUAGGUUGUUUAACUGAUUCUGGAACUCAAGAUUUUAGAGCAAUGAUAGAAUUUUAUAGAAGUUGAGAAUGAUAUAAAAGGAUAACAUAUUUUAUAUUUAAAUUAGUUUGGAUUGAUGUUAGUAUAUGUAAUAAAUAUGUGCUAAAAAGGUAAUCUUUACCGAGAUAUAAUACGGGCAACGAGCAGAAGUAGGAUUAAGGUGAUUCUGGUUUCAAGGUGUUUUGGAAUUUGAGAUUAAGUGAUCAAAGUAGCUCUUUUGUUGUACAUUUUCCCAAGUUGGGUCGCUUGCCAACCUUUUGUGUUUGGGUAAUUCUUUUGUUAUGCUAGUUGUGGCAUGCACAAGAAGUGUAAUAUAGUUGGAACAUUUAGUUACCGCGUGCACCUUUGUUGAAUAUGUAUAUUUGUAAAUUGUUAUCCUAGUUCCAUAAAUAUGUAUAUUUGUAAAUUGUUAUCCCAGUUCCAUAAAUAUAUAUAUAUAGACUUUUAGAGCAGUUUUCUUUUCGAUUACCAAGUAAUGAAAAACAAUUCAUCUAUAUAUAAAUUAAGAAUCAAGGAUUUUCUGUUAAUUCAAUACUUGUACCAAAAUGUGACAUCACUUGCAUGAUUAUUAAAUUAAUCCGGUAAGGGGUGUUACACCUAUCUCAACUUGAUAUUUCUCUUGAAAUUUUUCUGGAAAGAUCUGUUGUAGGGAGUAUUAUUUAACAUAAAUGUAAUUGUCUUUUUGAAUCUUGAUGAUACAAGAAAUGUUAUUUCAAAAAAAAAAGCUAAAAGUAAUAAAUAAAUUUCAAUACAUACCAUUUGUGAUUGUUCAUCGGAUGAAAUUAUCGUAGUAAAUCUUGCAAUGUUAUCUUCUGAGUAUCUCUCCUCUGGUUGCAUAGACAUUUUUUAACCACUUGAACGUUUGAGAUUUACAAAGAGAAUAUGGAAGAUGGAAAUGGUUUUAGAUGUGAGAGAAUAUUUACAGGAGUAAUUGUGAAAGAUGGAAAUGGUUGUUGUCUUUAUUGAAUGUUAGGUGAGAAGUAUUUUAAUAUAUUGUACUCCACAUACGUAUUCUCUUUCUAUUGACAAUUUAGUAAUUAAAUAAUAUUAUAAUUAGAUGAAUAUGUAAUUUGCUAAUACGAUAAUUAGAUGAAUACGUAACUAAUUAAUACUAUUAUAAAUAGAUGAAAAGUUAUUAACUAUUACUUGUGCAUCGUUCAAGUAUAGUGUUGCAUUUGAUGUUGUUGUGAUUUUUGUUUUCUAUGUUUUGCCGAAUUUAUCUCCUAAUUUGCAUGUUGUUUUAUAAUUUUUCGCAAUAAUUUUUGAGGGUUUGUUGGAAAGAUUCGUUUAUCAAUUAACAUAGAAAAAAUUGUAGUUUGUGUUUGCAAAUUAUAUAAUAAUAUGAUUUUAUAUUUUUAAUAUUAUAACUGGUAGUAUUAAUAUGAAGUACAGCAUGUAUAAAUAUAAAUUAUUGUACAAAAUCAUAUGAAUAUCGCGUGUUUUUCUAUUGACAUUGUUGGUAUGAUAUAUUUUUAAUAUUUCUAUAUAUAUUUUGUUUUAGAGUACUGAAGAUUGUGAAUAAUUUAAGGUUUAUAUUAAUUUUCUUAGAAAUAAAUAUUUGUCAUUAUUAUAAAGAGUGAAUGUUGUAUUUGUAGAGGGAUUUUGUUUUUCUUACUGAUUUAUAAGAAAAUAUCUAUUCAUAAAUAUUGUAUUCUCAAAUAUUGUACUCCCUUUGUUUCGAAUAAUUUAGUACCAAAUUAUGAAUACAUAUUUGGACGUUGUAUACAAAAGAUUUGGCACGGAAUGUCCUCAGCAGCGCAACGCGCUGGGGAUUUACCAGUGUAUUGAAUAGCUUGGGCUAAGACUCAACCCUAUUUGCAUCAAUGUAAACAUGAAAUUCAAUUAGUCCACCUAUUUAUAAUACUAAUGGGCCAGCCAAGCGGGCCCAAAUGAAAUGAGCGAGUGAUAAGAUCCAAAAUUAAAUACGACGAUUAUUUUGCCCCAAUUCCAUAUAUUUUAAAUCUAUCUCCAUUUGAAGGAUUAAUAAGAAUUGCUGAACUCCGACUGCAAUUCAAGUAUGAGAAUCUAUUGCCCCUCGAUGUAAAUUAAAUCAUUCUUUUCGUGAUGAUCCUGAAUUAUUGAUUGGUGGAUAAUUUGAUAUGCUACGAUAUUAUUGAUGAAAUAUGUUGGAGCACUACUUUUAAUAUGAGUUAGAUGUUAUAUAGACUAAGAAUUUAGUUUUUCAUGGAUCACUUGUGUCGCAUUAUGCUACGGUUGCACAAUAGAGCCUGGAUGAGAUUGGUCUGAUAGUCACAAUUAGCGGUUGGUAUCAUGGCUUAAAUGGCGUUUGGUUUGGCAGUUUUAUUUUUUGUAUGGCCCGUGCAAUGGGCCCCGGCCCAAGCUUUGGAGGCUGCAAUGGCUAGUUAACUUAUCGAAAGAGAUUCAACCAAACUUUUUACAAUUUGAGAUUUACAACCUGCAUCGACCCCCUUCUCCUUCAAUCCCAAUUCGACCACAUAUUCGUCGCCGAUCCAUCGGCGAACACAGCGGCCCUGGCCCAUCCGCCACCAGAACCACCGAUCGCCGCUCAAGUCGGCAUAUUCGGAGACCCAGCGUGCCUGCAAGUAGGUGUGUUGAAGACGAAGGGCAUGACAGCGGCGCUCGCGGGUAAUUCGGGUGUGUUGUUCAUGGUUUUGCGGCGUCGGAUGAGGCGGAGAGAUAGUGGAGGAAGAUGGGGGAGGAUGGGGCCCAUUUUCUUAUCAAUUUUGCCAUAGGAUUUCUGGAAGUCAAAGCCCUUAGGAUUUGGAUAAAUUUCUCAUUCUAAACAAAACAGAUGUUGUGUUGUUGUGGUGUGAGAUGGGUGCACAAAAGAAAGUGCGCGGCGGCUAUGCAUGAAAUUUUUUGGAGAUGUGCUUACCCAAUUAGAAUUCUUGAGGGACAAAGUUGGAAAUAAGAAAAUGAAUGAGGAUAUUGAGGAAUUUGUGGGCAGCAACUGAUGUUCCUUUACUGGCAAACCAAACGUUUAAGUUAAAAUCGUUAACCGCAGAAAAGGAACUUUCUAUGAGACUCCAAACAUUUUCUAAUGAAACGAUAACCGACAAACCAAACGAGCCCAAGUUAAAGCUAGUUAAACUCAGGCAUGUUGCUCAUACAACAGUGACAGGGCUGUGAUAUAUGAUUCCAAUUGUGCGGCAUCGGGAGGGAUAUUGUUUGAUACAGCUGGGGAGUAGAUGUUGGGUUACACAUUGCGGUGUAGACUGAAUUAUGAGCAAUAUAUGAUGGACUUACGUUGGCGUAAGAACGUGUGUUUGGAAAUAUUAUUGUGAAAAGCGAUAAUAUGACAGUUGAAUUAGUGAUAUGUAUAAUUUAUGAGCAUAUGUGCUUAGUGUAUGAGCUAUACUAGAACAGGGCAAUGCCCUCUCCUUGUAAAGAUGAUAAUAUGACAAUUGAUUUAGUGACUAUAUGCUCAGUUUAUAUUAGAAUUAUAGGACAUUACAAUGUUGAA
Salvia hispanica is the source of this 4302-nucleotide non-coding RNA. The record is from RefSeq and is a predicted model, not a curated record. Lineage: Eukaryota; Viridiplantae; Streptophyta; Magnoliopsida; Lamiales; Lamiaceae.